This is a long non-coding RNA of Saccostrea cuccullata (small rock oyster), 261 nucleotides long. RefSeq lists it as uncharacterized. The record is from RefSeq and is a predicted model, not a curated record. Lineage: Eukaryota; Metazoa; Mollusca; Bivalvia; Ostreida; Ostreidae. The transcript is spliced from 3 exons.
CAGGAGCCCAGAGAUGAUCAAAAAUUGAGAGCAGAAGAAAUUUGAGGCUGACCAGGAUCCUGAAGUGAGGAGCAGUCCCUUUCCCAUUUAACAGCAUUCAUGAGCAGAAAAUGGGGAAGCAGAAAUGCUGAGACAGUUCAGAAGAAACAUCACCAGAAGCCACAGCAACAGCAAAGGAAGCUUAUAUGGAAGUAUUUUUGAUUUUCUCCCUUCUUUCCCCUACCCCCUGGCCCCUGCUGACUCUAACAUAACUAACCAUCC